CAGAGCUUACUGCCAGGUGGAGGGUUUGGAUAUGCGGCGCCGCGUUUCAUCUCGCUUAGCCGCAUGCGCGAUGUGCGAUGCGCGAUACCCUCGCCCCUGGAGCUCGACUACUCCCCUGAGGAGUGACCUUCCCACCCGGCGCUGACAGAGCCACUAUUGCGCAGUGGAAUGGUGUCUACGCCGUCUGCAACCGGCUCAUAGCGCUUGAGAUCUGGCUCUUCAUGAGCUCUGUGGACAGGCUCAUCCAUCGCAGAACCUCUCUCACUCCACCAGAGAUUUUGGAGAUUCAACAGUCCGUCGGUGCUCUGCUCGCAGCGCCUCCUCACACAGCCGCCGCCCAGGGGGAACACCGUCGCUGGUCGAAGGGGAGGGGUGAGCCCAGCCGUCCGGAUCAUCGCCGCGCUGAUCAUCGCUGCUCCUCUUGGAGAGACCAGUCGGUCUCUCAGCUCUGCACCCUCCAAAUGCGAAGGAAGAAAACUUUGUAUCUAAAAGUAUGCAUCUGAACCAAAGUCUAACUCAAAAAAAAAAAAAAAAAGAUGCAUGACUUUGGUAUUUGGUCUGUUUCUUCUCCGCCCAAAAUUAGGGUUUAUCACCCUCCAAGUUCCGGUUCCAGUCAAUGCGGAAUCCUGCUUCAAAAUGUGUUUUUGUUUGAUAUCGUCUCUAGAGACGGGGAAGUUUCUGGAGCCAAGAAGUUAUGUUUUUUUUCAGCUUCGCCACAAUAAGUAGCAUAGGCGUCAAAUAACUCUUUCCCGUCUCUCAACAGAUCCCGGUUCUUGCCAAAAGUCGGGAGAGUUUCAAUUUUGCCAUUAACUCUUCUUAUUAUUCAGACUUGCCAGUUUCCAGCAGGGGUCGCCACAGGACCGCGAAAGCCACCACUUCAUCACACACACUCCAAACCUCUCGUAGGCAAGCAAGACAUCGUCAUCGAGAGAGUCAUCUCUUUCUGAGGAUGAUUGGGCCGGUCCCUCGGGUGUCCAUCUUAGGAGAAUUGCAGUGUCAGAUCAAGUUCAGGGGUAACCUUUGCUGUUGACCAGGCCUGCCAGAACUUCAUCGGACUCCUUUUCAAACGGACUCCAGUCUCGCUAUGGAUGCCUCUUCCUCUGCACGCCAUAGAUGUCGUCACCCAUCUGUGUGACAUUCAUUUAACGCAGAGUGAUACAAGUAAAAAGAUUUAAUUAUUCGAGCAAUAAUGCGACCAACUUUUGAAGACGGUGGCGUACACGCGGAUCCGACUGCAGUGCUCCCUUCAAUAGAUACCAGUCUAGCCACGGAUGCUUUAUAGGAAUUAUUACCCCUCUGGGUAAUAAUUAACGCAGAGUGAUACAGGUGAAAAUAGCCAAAUGCGGGAGCAGUACGGUGCGACAUGUUAGUUUUGUAGUGUGCAUUUUGUGUUUAGCAUUUUUAAAAAUGCUAAUUAAAAAAAAAAAAAUUAAAAAAUCUAUUCAAAAC
Molecule: long non-coding RNA, 1449 nt
Organism: Synchiropus splendidus (mandarinfish)
Lineage: Eukaryota; Metazoa; Chordata; Actinopteri; Syngnathiformes; Callionymidae
Exons: 6
Source: RefSeq, a predicted model, not a curated record